Molecule: long non-coding RNA, 518 nt
Filed under: Setaria viridis
Lineage: Eukaryota; Viridiplantae; Streptophyta; Magnoliopsida; Poales; Poaceae
Description: long non-coding RNA (SVIR_LNC005054)
Source: RNAcentral
CGUGAUCUAACAUAUAUAGAUAUUUGUUGAUAAAGUGACACAUUGGAUACCAUGUCAAUGUGCUUAAGUAUAUGAUAUCUUUGGAGAGUGUGAUAGGAUGCACAUGAUAGGAGCAGGUAAGGAUCAUCAAUUAACUGAACAAUGUGAUGGAUAUCUUAGUUCUUAUGGCCAUCAAUUAGGGGGUGUUUGGAUACACCCUGCUAAAGUUUAGCACCUGUCAUAUCGGAUGUUUGGAUGCUAAUUAGAAGUAUUAAACAUAGGCUAAUUAUAAAACUAAUUGCACAGAUGGACUCUAAUUUGCGAGACGAAUCUAUUAAGCCUAAUUAGUCCCUGAUUUGACAAUGUGGUGCUACAGUAACCAUUUGCUAAUGAUGGAUUAAUUAGGCUUAAUAGAUUCGUCUCGCGAAUUAGCACAGGGUUCUACAAUUAGUUUUAUAAUUAGCUCAUAUUUAAUCCUUCUAAUUAGCAUCUGAAUAUUCGAUGUGACACUGCUAAAGUGUAGCACCUAGUAUCCAAAC